RNAcentral lists this ribosomal RNA (532 nucleotides) under Shigella flexneri. RNAcentral describes it as "bacterial SSU rRNA". It matches the Rfam family "Bacterial small subunit ribosomal RNA", at positions 860 to 1392 of the family's 1533-position model. Lineage: Bacteria; Pseudomonadati; Pseudomonadota; Gammaproteobacteria; Enterobacterales; Enterobacteriaceae. The record is from RNAcentral.
UUAAGUCGACCGCCUGGGGAGUACGGCCGCAAGGUUAAAACUCAAAUGAAUUGACGGGGGCCCGCACAAGCGGUGGAGCAUGUGGUUUAAUUCGAUGCAACGCGAAGAACCUUACCUGGUCUUGACAUCCACGGAAGUUUUCAGAGAUGAGAAUGUGCCUUCGGGAACCGUGAGACAGGUGCUGCAUGGCUGUCGUCAGCUCGUGUUGUGAAAUGUUGGGUUAAGUCCCGCAACGAGCGCAACCCUUAUCCUUUGUUGCCAGCGGUCCGGCCGGGAACUCAAAGGAGACUGCCAGUGAUAAACUGGAGGAAGGUGGGGAUGACGUCAAGUCAUCAUGGCCCUUACGACCAGGGCUACACACGUGCUACAAUGGCGCAUACAAAGAGAAGCGACCUCGCGAGAGCAAGCGGACCUCAUAAAGUGCGUCGUAGUCCGGAUUGGAGUCUGCAACUCGACUCCAUGAAGUCGGAAUCGCUAGUAAUCGUGGAUCAGAAUGCCACGGUGAAUACGUUCCCGGGCCUUGUACACACCG